The submitters of this non-coding RNA (80 nucleotides) gave its source as unclassified sequences. The record is from Rfam.
ACCGUGGGGACAAGCGAUCUCCUCAUGAGGCGACAUGCCAAAGCAUCGCGUCACGCAUUUUUGCGAGGCGCUUUCGCAUG